This 1416-nucleotide long non-coding RNA is filed under the name Betta splendens (Siamese fighting fish). Its description in RNAcentral is "lncRNA (ENSBSLG00000012606.1)". Lineage: Eukaryota; Metazoa; Chordata; Actinopteri; Anabantiformes; Osphronemidae. The record is from RNAcentral.
AUGAGAUCUGUGGAUGGGAACAUGUCUCCAGUCGAGGUGUUGAUGAAGGAAAUUCAGAAAUGCUCACACAAAUGGAGCAAGCGGACACAUAAAUCCACGUCGCCCUGGCCUUCAGAGGGGACAUUUGAUCUGAGGCAAUGUGCAGAGAUGCAGGGUUUUAUAAAAACCUAUAAGAUAAAAGACAAAUCUGUAAAGCGAGGCCUUAAACGGGAAAAAGAAAAUGCAGUGUUGCAAUUGUUUAUUAACUGUGCAAAAAUGAUGGGCAAAAAGACGACUCAAUGUGGGGAUAAUCAAUUUAAUCAGAUCUCUAAAACUAAGUCUCUUUCAGAUGCAUCCCAGCUGAAUGCAGAAGAAAUAAAACCUUUACGGACGAAGAAGCCAGUUCACCCUGUAGCUGAUCUAGAAGGGACAGACAGGGCAGUGAAAAGGGAUGAGUUGUUAGAACUGCCUGACAUUUAUUUAAACACAGAGAAAAUUUCAAUUGGAAAUUCCUGCAGUGAAAGUGAUCUGCGUGACAGAGCAAUUCGAUCACUGUGGGCUGAGUCAGAUGAGGAAUCAGUGUGUGUGGGUGACGAACGGGUAAAUGAGGUUUCUGAUGGACUUCCUCUGCUGAUCAAAAGGGCAAAGUGUCAAAAUCUGCCCUGGCCUUCAAAACCGGAACAGAAUGAUCUGACUGACACUGUGGGACUUUGCAACUUGUCACUAGAACAAAUAACUAAGCAUGUGAUUCAUGCUGUUGAGCUGCGUCAGAAGCAGGCAAAGGAGGCAGUGAAAGAAGCAACACGCCAGCAGCAGAGGCAGAAAGAGGGGGAGAAAAGAGCUCAACCAGCCAGCGUGCCUCAGACCCCACCUACACCACCAGGCAUGGCCACACCUCAGGUGAUGUACAUUCUACCAGGAGGGUGGACAAGACGACCUCCUAUGAGGAGAAAAGAGCUCAACCAGCCAGCGUGCCUCAGACCUCACCUACACCACCAGGCAUGGUCACACCUCAGGUGAUGUACAUUCUACUAGGAGGGUGGACAAGACGACCUCCUAUGAGGAGAGGAGGGUUCCCUGCAGACAAAGGCAGAGGAACAGGGGGCAGUCACAAAGGAGGCGUGAGAUGCUACUGCUGUGGGAAGACUGGUCACGUAAGAAGCCAUUGCUUUGAUUGGCUACGAGGGUCACGAGGAGUGCCUAGACCAAAGGGGUCCGCUACUCAAUGUGGAGGCCCCUCAGCUGGUUACUAGAGAGGACCAGACACCUGCAGGAUUCAUGAACUUUGUUGAUGGGCUCCAUCAAAAGCCAAAAAGCCAGAGGCCUCUGAAUCUGUGACUUCACCUUGCUGCACACUUUAGUACUUUGAGACUCAGACAAAUAUCUAAAAUUUGGAAACAGAAUAAACAAGUCGGCUGGUGAGAAUGACUUAGUCCU